Molecule: long non-coding RNA, 825 nt
Organism: Homo sapiens (human)
Lineage: Eukaryota; Metazoa; Chordata; Mammalia; Primates; Hominidae
Source: Ensembl
AUUGUAGCAGCUGGCUCAGAGUCAAGACAUCAACACAUGAAUCAGACAGGAUGAGAGGAGGAUAAGGCUAAAGACAGAGGCUCCAGCUACCUUGGUGACAAGGAAUGGAGGAGAAAAGGAACAGGAAAUUUUAAUAAGAUUAGGAGGGCUUGCUUUUCUGCCAAGUGAGCCGCUUUCACAGGAGCGAUAAAUUGGAAAUGUUAUCUGGCUUGAUAUGCCAGUUUUUCUGAGAAAAUCACUCUGCCAGUGGUGACAGAAUGGAAGAGCUGAAAACAUCUUCUUUUUUCAAAGUCAUAUGUCACGAACCAAGGAGACUCCAAAAAAUAAAUUAUGGAAGAUUAUGACCACUGCUGCCAAGGAUACAGUGAAAUAGAGUUUGUGGCAUCUGGUUUUAACUCCAAUAUGUAAAGAGCUUGGAAGCCAUCUUUCCUUCCACCACAACAAGAAAACAGCUGAACUGAAAAUCAAUGACUUUUCUUAGAUCCAUUAAAGAAUUGAGAUUGCAGGACACACUACCACCCUGAAAACUGGAGAGAGGAAAAAUACAGAGAGGAAGCAGAUCAGCUUACCUGAAGCAGAGGCCGCUGGAAUCUGUGACAGGUCCGAGGAAGUUCCUGAGAUAACUUUGUGAGUGGUCCACUAUUUCUGCAUUUCACAGCAUUGCUAUACUCCAAACUUUGUUCUACUCAUUGUUCAACUCAAUGCCUUGAACCUGGCAUAUAAUAGAUGCUGAAUACAUGAGUUAUAAUUGAAAACAAUGUUGAUUAUUCUUUUACAACUAAACUCUAGCCAUUUACAGAUUUUAAAUAAAGUGAUCCAUAACAU